AUGCGUGUUGUUUUUUGAUUGGUAGAUUUAAAUAAAGCUGAUACUAAUCAAUGACCUUGAAGGAUAAUUUGGUCACAAGCACAACUGACAUAAUUGAUGUUGUCAUGUAAAAUAUGUCUAACCUCUUUACGCAAUGACUAAAAAAUAUCUAUCUCGCUCCAUUGAGGUAGCUUUCUUUAAGUUAGAGAGGUCACGAAAAAAUUUUGUUGAUUCUUUAUAAAAAUAAUUCCUUGACCAUAUUUGACGUAAAAUGCCACAUGUCCAUUAUAUAUAGGUGUCAAAGCACCGUGCGUUCGUCACUGCGGCACAGUCGCGACUGUCUGCACCCCACGCCCCGAGUUCGAGGUGCGUAGGUAUAGCUCGCGUUUCGACCUCUAGUAUGAAGUCAAACUACUACUUGUAUAUAUUUUUACUGUGGCAUUGCUUAGACUAUCCACAGAUUAAAUACAUAGAAUAUUCGAUUACUGAUCGAUGUUUGGCUGUUUUGUCAAAAGAAUCGAUUCUUUUUAUAAAUUGUUUUUAUUACAAAUUUGAUAAAAUUAAGGUUUAAUAAUAUACUUUAAUACUUUCAAAUGAAACGUUACUCCAUCUUUUACUAAACUACAAGUUUUUGGCCGUUUUUUAUGCCAUUUAACUACACAAACCGGCAUUUUUAGGGAGCUCUUUACUCGACGAAAACGAUUACAACAAUGAAACAUCGAUUCUGUAGCAACAGUUUUUAUAAACGCGUUAGAUCAUAGAUUUUUGAUCUUUGACAGAGGGGUAACAGUUAGCGAGCCAAGUCCUGUUAUUAAUGGUCUAAGCAUACCGUAGACCAAGAUAAUAGACAUUAGACAUAGGUCAUAGACAAUGUUACAGAAUUACAGAUGUUUAUUGCAAAGAGUAGAGUAAGCGUAAGUAUUGGGGUAUUGUUCUAUGAUGGUUUUAAGGAGAUCAUAACUCCUGAGUAAAUAUGUUCCUUGAUCUUAUCGGCUGUAUUUGUUUGACUUUGAUGACUUUGAUUAUUUUGAAGUUUGGUUUGUGGAAAUGUGGAUGUGGACAUCAAAGCAAACAGUCACAAAUUUAUUGUAUUUAUUAUUUAACUAUUUGUAUUUAGUAAUGAAUAUGGUGGACACUGGAUAUUUAAUUAGCUAUGUGCGUUUUUGGACGCCACGGCCAGCGGCAGGCUGAGGCACCAAGCAAGCAAUAAGGGUACUUGGCAAGGGCCAGAGGGCUAGAGCCAGAGCCAGAUAGCCUUGGUAAAAUGGUAAUUGUUUGUAUUAGAGGUGAGUCGUACUCGCUAAAACGCGUACUGAGUAUUACGAAUACGAGUACGCCGAGAGACGCGCUCCAAAGACUAGCUCCACGAGUAUUUAGAAGUACGAGCCAUUAGGACCUAUAGAAUAGAUACGUACUCCUAAAUACUCAGUGGCCAGCGAUUUUACAUCAUAUUAUCUGAUAGUAAGCGUACAUUAAUUUCAACCGAGUUCUACACAGUCAUUUGGACUAGUGGUAUGUACGCUAGAUACGAUAAACUAAGAAUCCUGAGUUCGAUCCCGGGUAACAGAAAAUCAUUUUUGUCUUUUUAUUUUGUUUUUCUCAAUUGUUUUCUUCAACUAUUUUUGGUUUUGUAAUCCACAAAAAAAAAAUGCAAAAAAAAUAUUUCAGUCAUUAAUUUCAAAAUUUCAAUUUAAUUUUAUUAUCUAGUUAUUUCUUUUAAUAUUACCUCAUGAUACUGUCGGUUUACAUUAACUUGUUACUUUAGCGGAUAAAUAAUCAUACUAAAACAAUAAAUGAUCACAUUAUGUUUUUAAAAUAAGGAUUAAAAUCAGGGACUCACUCACGCAUGCUUCAGUACGAUGUUUGGAGUAUUAAGUGUAUACUGCGUUAAAAAUUCGGUCUUAUAUUUGAUAAGGUAAAGACAAUUUUUCAUCGGCAAUGGGACGUCACUCACACAUUCUUAAACGAACGCGUCCGGGAACGCGUCUCGCGAGGUUUUGACUGUUGGAGUAUGAAGUGUUUAUUGCGUUGAAAAACCGGUCUUAUGUCUAGACAACAAAGUCUAUUUUCUUUCGGCAUUGAUAGAAGUCUCUCACUCACUCAUUACUAAUCGAACGCGUCUCUGAACACGUCCCGUAUUGGUUGGACCGUUAGAGUAUUUGCGAGUAUUGGACUCGCACUCUGUUGACGUCUUGCGCUCCUCGGUACUCGGUACUUCUAAGGGCAUAAACUGCGUUACGCGUGUGUACGCACGUGAGCACGUCGCGGGCCACGCUUCUGGUGCACGCACGUGAGCACGUUCGCGUGCUUAUGCGCGGGCAUCGGCGCGUGCAUCCGCGUCGCAGUUUUCUCAGUACAAUUUUGACGUUGGAGGUGUACAGUCGAGUAAUUAUGGAUAAAUUAAUGUUGUAUUAUUUAUCAAGACGACGGCGACGACGAAUUGCCAAAAAAAGACGCCAGCCAGUAAGCCCGUACGUUGAAUCUAGGUUACUGUGCGGGGAAUUCGUGGUGAAGUUUGGUAUAUUAAGAGAAAAUGAAAGGUUUUUUUUCAAAUAUUUUAAAGUUUCAUUACAAGUCUAUGAUGAAUUAUAUUCAAAACUGGAGCCCUAUUUGAAGACUAACAAUCUACGAUUGAAAUCUACGUCAAUCGUAUCACCAAUGGAACGAUUUGCAAUGACAUUGCGGUAAGUAAAGACAUUUCGAUAUUAAUAAUCAUCUUUAUUCAUGUAAAAAACAGUCAUUAUUUAACAAAAGUUUAGAACACUCAUAUUUUUUUGCCAAUUUAUGUAAGUCACAUUACUGUUUAGCCACAUCAAGCAAGAAAGAAGAAGAAGUUCUUAUUGUUUCGGCAGUGACACCUGAAUAUGGCUUAAAAUGUUUUUCUUGAUGUGGUUCACUCUGUUCUUAGGACCGAAACACAUAACCGCACACUUAUUAAUCAUCAUAUUAAUCACAGUUUCUUACAUUUAUUAAUUAUAUUUUGUUAUUUCUAAAUUACACAGUUUUAUCGUUUUCGUUUUUUGUUUUAUCUAUACCUACUUAUUCACUAAUUUUUUUAUAUACUUAAUCACAACAGUCAUCACAGUGUCUUGCAUAAACGCUACGUUACAAUUAGUUUUUGAUUAAUCAUUUGAAAUACACUAAUAAAAUCACAGGUUCAAGUUUAAAAUAAAAAAACACAAUAACAGUUAAAACAGUACAAUAAGUCUAAAUGUCUUAAUUAUAUUAAUAUACCUACCUUACAAAGUAUUAAUUAUAAUGACGCAUAUUGAUUGCAAGUUUUUACAUAUGAAUAUUUCCCUUAUUAAUUAUUCCCUUCUAUUACUAGAUCGGGUACUAAUAUUAUUUUAAAUUCUUAUUUAUCAUCACAAUCAUAAUCACAGUUUACUACAUAAAAGAUUAAAUUUAAGAAGAGGACAUAUGAAGGAGCAAUGUUAUGAGUAGGUUCAAAAAAAAGGUCCAUUAAGUAAAAAAGGGGUCUAUUGAUACACUUUUUUAUUUGACCCCAAAAUAGGGUUUAAGAUAAAAGUGUCCGAAUCGACCCCGUUUCUUUCCUUAUGAACAUUACACCUCAAGGCUUGUAAACUUUUGGCGAAUGCCCUUGCAUAUCAUAAUAAUUGCACGUGAGACCAGAAAAAUAUAAAUAUAAAAUUGCGCUUUUUACUAACUUAAAUAGUUCUUCAUGUUCUUCUCUUUCUUUUGUUCUUAAUAAUUAAACAGUCUUAAUCAAAUCUUCAAAGUCUUUCUUGUUACCUAUUUAUUCAUUGUUCGUAUCUGAUCUUACAUUUAAGGAUUCUAAAUCAUUCGUUACCGUAUUUUGCGUUAAUGAAAGGUCAUCAAUGGUAAUAAUCAUUUCUUUUUCUAUAUCAAUCAAAGCUUCUAAUACUUUCGUACGAAAUAAUAAUUUUUUAAAGGAACUCAAUUUUUUUACAGUUGGUAAUAAUGACUUAAAAAAAUUCAAGUCUUCGUCCAUAUUAUCUGCAGUGUUAUUCUUCACGCAAUUUAACAACUCUAAUUCGAAAUCAGUUGGCGAUUCGCACUUACGUUUCUUGGAAGAUCGUGUUUCUUUGGUAACGCUGGAGCUGGUGCUAGAUAUUUAGUCAGUGGACAUACCUUCGUCGAUAUUCAUCUGGCGUAUCAUACAGGACUAACCACGGUCAGAAAAAUAGUAACAGAAGUUUGUCAAAUUAUAAUUGAAAGGUUAAAGGAAGAAUGUAUACCAAAAUUUUCCCGUGCGCUAUGGGAAGAGACUGAAAAAGGUUUUUUAACGCAAGCCCAGUUUCCUAACUGCAUAGGUGCAAUAGACGGAAAACAUAUACGCAUUAUAAGACCUCCACAUAGUGGUUCCCUCUAUUACAACUAUAAGCAUUACUAUUCUAUUGUACUGCUUGCAAUGUGUAACGCCAACUAUGAGUUUACCUAUAUAAACGUGGGAGUGCAGGGUAAAGAAUCUGACUCCGCAAUUUUCACACAAAGCCGAUUGUACGAACAAAUCAACAAUGACUUAAUAGAUAUUCCUCCUGCCAAAGCAUUGCCCGUAAUACACAAUGAUAAACCAACAAACAUUGCUGCAACCGCAGCUUUGCCCUAUAUUAUUGUAGGAGAUGAAGCAUUUGGGUUAUCUAGCCAUGUCAUGCGGCCAUAUGCUCGAGCUCUCGAUUUAAACUACAAAAAAAAAAUAUUCAAUUAUAGGUUAACGAGAGCGCGACGUUAUAUUGAGUGUACAUUUGGUAUCAUGGCUAAUAAAUUUCGCAUACUCCAUCGUCCAUUGAACGUUGGAAAAGACAAAGCAAUUUGUUUUCUUAAAACAAUUUGUAUUUUGCAUAAUUUUAUAAGAUCAAGAAGUCAAAUUAAUGACUUUCAUGAUAUUGUCAUUAUACCAGACCAUAUACGUUCAGUUCGGGGGUUAAUUGGAAAUACCCACAGAGAUUCGUAUACAUUACGCGAUAACUUCGCAGAUUAUUUCGUUGCAGACGGACAGCUGUCAUGGCAAGAUCGCAGUAUUUAUUGAAGAUAGUUGGCUUUUUUAACCGACUUCAAAAAGGAGGAGGUUAUCAAUUCGUCGGAAUCUUUUUUUUUUUUUUUUUAUUUUUUUUUUUUUUAGGUAUGUUCGGAGAUUACUCGAAAACGGCUGAACCGAUUUGGAAAAUUCUUUUUUUGUUUGAAAGGGUGUCGUUUCUAGUUGGUCCCAUGAAAACCAGGUUGCGAUCUGAUGAUGGGAUCCUGGGAAACUUGAGGGAAUCUUUUUAAUAUUAUAGGUACACUCGAAGCGAUAACGAUAUUUUCUGAAGUAACUUGCAUGAUAAUGCAAUUUAUGAAGAUACAGAGCUGAUCUGAUGCUGGAUCCGGAAGGUGGCCAUAGGAACUCUGCAAUAAAACGAGAUAGCUCCAACAAAUUUGGGCUCGUUUGAUUCGUAUUGCCGAGCACUUUUACCCUAUAUGGAAAUCAAGGAAUAUUACGAAGACAUAGCUGAUCUGAUGCUGGAGCCGAAACAUGGCUAUAGGAACUCUGCAAUAAAACAAGAUAACUCCAACA
This is an RNA transcript of Bicyclus anynana (squinting bush brown), 5515 nucleotides long. RefSeq lists it as uncharacterized. NCBI's taxonomy places the organism in Eukaryota, Metazoa, Arthropoda, Insecta, Lepidoptera, Nymphalidae. The transcript is spliced from 2 exons. The record is from RefSeq and is a predicted model, not a curated record.